This 253-nucleotide ribosomal RNA is filed under the name uncultured bacterium. RNAcentral describes it as "partial 16S ribosomal RNA". It matches the Rfam family "Bacterial small subunit ribosomal RNA", at positions 524 to 776 of the family's 1533-position model. The record is from RNAcentral.
GACGUAGGGCGCGAGCGUUGUCCGGAUUUAUUGGGCGUAAAGAGCUCGUAGGCGGCUUGUCGCGUCGUCCGUGGAAACUUGGGGCUCAACCCCAAGCUUGCGGUCGAUACGGGCAGGCUAGAGUUCGGUAGGGGAGACUGGAAUUCCUGGUGUAGCGGUGAAAUGCGCAGAUAUCAGGAGGAACACCGGUGGCGAAGGCGGGUCUCUGGGCCGAUACUGACGCUGAGGAGCGAAAGCGUGGGGAGCGAACAGG